This 248-nucleotide unclassified non-coding RNA is filed under the name plant metagenome. RNAcentral's name for it is "partial contains small subunit ribosomal RNA, internal transcribed spacer 1, and 5.8S ribosomal RNA". The stretch from base 1 to 53 matches the Rfam family "Eukaryotic small subunit ribosomal RNA", at positions 1779 to 1831 of the family's 1831-position model. The record is from RNAcentral.
GGAGUAAAAGUCGUAACAAGGUUUCCGUAGGUGAACCUGCGGAAGGAUCAUUAACGAGUUAGGGUCUUUCAGGCCCGACCUCCCAACCCUAUGUUUAUUGAACCUCUGUUGCUUCGGCGGACCCGUCUCACGACCGCCGGAGGACCGCCGAGAGCCAACCACUUAACACUCUGAAUAAAUCAUGUCAUUAUGUCUAAGCCUAUGAUUAAAUUAAAGCAAAACUUUCAACAACGGAUCUCUUGGUUCUG